GACGAACGCUGGCGGCGUGCUUAACACAUGCAAGUCGAACGGAAAGGCCCUGCUUUUGUGGGGUGCUCGAGUGGCGAACGGGUGAGUAACACGCGAGUAACCUGCCCUUGACUUUGGGAUAACUUCAGGAAACUGGGGCUAAUACCGGAUAGGAGCUCCUGCUGCACGGUGGGGGUUGGAAAGUUUCGGCGGUUGGGGAUGGACUCGCGGCUUAUCAGCUUGUUGGUGGGGUAGUGGCUUACCAAGGCUUUGACGGGUAGCCGGCCUGAGAGGGGGACCGGGGACAUUGGGACUGCGAUACGGCCCAGAAUCCUACGGGAGGCAGUAGUGGGGAGUAUUGCGCAAUGGGGGGACGCGUGUUGCGGCAACCCCGGGUGCGGGAUGCCGGCCUUCGGGUUGUAAACCGCUUUCGCCUGUGACGAAGCGUGAGUGACGGUAAUGGGUAAAGAAGCACCGGCUAACUACGUG
This 468-nucleotide ribosomal RNA is filed under the name uncultured bacterium. RNAcentral describes it as "partial 16S ribosomal RNA". It matches the Rfam family "Bacterial small subunit ribosomal RNA", at positions 28 to 507 of the family's 1533-position model. The record is from RNAcentral.